Molecule: ribosomal RNA, 492 nt
Filed under: uncultured bacterium
Lineage: Bacteria
Description: partial 16S ribosomal RNA
Rfam family: Bacterial small subunit ribosomal RNA
Source: RNAcentral
AGUGAACGCUGGCGGUAGGCCUAACACAUGCAAGUCGAACGGCAGCACAGUAAGAGCCUGCUCUUACGGGUGGCGAGUGGCGGACGGGUGAGGAAUACAUCGGAAUCUACUUUUUCGUGGGGGAUAACGUAGGGAAACUUACGCUAAUAUCGCAUACGACCUACGGGUGAAAGCAGGGGAUCUUCGGACCUUGCGCGAUUGAAUGAGCCGAUGACGGAUUAGCUAGUUGGCGGGGUAAAGGCCCACCAAGGCGACGAUCCGUAGCUGGUCUGAGAGGAUGAUCAGCCACACUGGAACUGAGACACGGUCCAGACUCCUACGGGAGGCAGCAGUGGGGAAUAUUGGACAAUGGGCGCAAGCCUGAUCCAGCCAUACCGCGUGGGUGAAGAAGGCCUUCGGGUUGUAAAGCCCUUUUGUUGGGAAAGAAAAGCAGCAGGUUAAUACCCCGCUGUUCUGACGGUACCCAAAGAAUAAGCACCGGCUAACUUCGUG